This 247-nucleotide ribosomal RNA is filed under the name uncultured bacterium. RNAcentral's name for it is "partial 16S ribosomal RNA". It matches the Rfam family "Bacterial small subunit ribosomal RNA", at positions 85 to 334 of the family's 1533-position model. The record is from RNAcentral.
CGUCCGGCGACCGGCGCACGGUGAGUAACACGUAUGCAAUCCACCUGUAACAGGGGGAUAACCCGGAGAAAUUGGUACUAAUACCCCAUAAUAUCAUAGAAGGCAUCUUUUAUGGUUGAAAAUUCCGAUGGUUAGAGAUGGGCAUGCGUUGUAUUAGCUAGUUGGUGGGGUAACGGCUCACCAAGGCGACGAUACAUAGGGGGACUGAGAGGUUAACCCCCCACACCGGUACUGAGACACGGACCAG